This is a long non-coding RNA of Tupaia belangeri chinensis (Chinese tree shrew), 464 nucleotides long. RefSeq lists it as uncharacterized. Lineage: Eukaryota; Metazoa; Chordata; Mammalia; Scandentia; Tupaiidae. The record is from RefSeq and is a predicted model, not a curated record. The transcript has 3 exons.
AUACAACAAUUCCCAGAGAAGCAAAAACCAGAAGGGAAAAAUCCGUUUCCAGCAAAGGUCCGCGGCUGCCAGCGCCACCCCAUUCCCCUCGUCUGCCCGGCUGUGGGGUCUCCACUGCGGACAGCACCGGCUGCAUCAUCUCCUGCAGCCUAUCCUGCACGGGAGUCACGGCAGGCCAAGGAGAAGCUGGCAGUUUCCAGGAGAAGGAUCGGGAGGCCUCGCUCCUCUCCACCAGCUCCACUCACAGACACGGCGCAUGAGGGACGCAGAGGUCACGACGCCGACCCAGAGUCAUACCGGCUCCCACGCCCGACUGCAUCAACAGAGGGACCCAGGCCCGAGGGACCUCAGCGAUGUCGUCGUCCUCCCUAUCGUCUGGGACCCAAUCAUUGACUCCUCAGCAUCAGCCAGAGAGCAGGGCGAUAGUCUCUUCUGGCAGAGUUAAGACAAGAAAAGAACCAAAC